This 175-nucleotide ribosomal RNA is filed under the name uncultured bacterium. RNAcentral describes it as "partial 16S ribosomal RNA". It matches the Rfam family "Bacterial small subunit ribosomal RNA", at positions 335 to 525 of the family's 1533-position model. The record is from RNAcentral.
ACUCCUACGGGAGGCAGCAGUGGGGAAUAUUGGGCAAUGGGCGCAAGCCUGACCCAGCAACGCCGCGUGAAGGAAGAAGGCUAUCGGGUUGUAAACUUCUUUUGUCGGGGACGAGUAGAAGACGGUACCUGACGAAUAAGCCACGGCUAACUCCGUGCCAGCAGCCGCGGUAAUA